CNGGAUUUAUUGGGCGUAAAGGGAGCGCAGGCGNUCAGGAAAGUCUGGAGUAAAAGGNUAUGGCUCAACCAUAGUGUGCUCUGGAAACUNUCUGACUUGAGUGCAGAAGGGGAGAGUGGAAUUCCAUGUGUAGCGGUGAAAUGCGUAGAUAUAUGGAGGAACACCAGUGGCGAAAGCGGCUCUCUGGUCUGUCACUGACGCUGAGGCUCGAAAGCGUGGGUAGCGAACAGGAUUAGAUACCCUGGUAGUNCACGCCGUAAACGAUGAGUGCUAGGUGUUAGGCCCUUUCCGGGGCUUAGUGCCGGAGCUAACGCAAUAAGCACUCCGCCUGGGGAGUACGACCGCAAGGUUGAAACUCAAAGGAAUUGACGGGGGCCCGCACAAGCGGUGGAGCAUGUGGUUUAAUUCGAAGCAACGCGAAGAACCUUACCAGGUCUUGACAUCCCGAUGCUAUUCUUAGAGAUAGGAAGUUACUUCGGUACAUCGGAGACAGGUGGUGCAUGGUUGUCGUCAGCUCGUGUCGUGAGAUGUUGGGUUAAGUCCCGCAACGAGCGCAACCCUUAUUGUUAGUUGCCAUCAUUAAGUUGGGCACUCUAGCGAGACUGCCGGUAAUAAACCGGAGGAAGGUGGGGAUGACGUCAAAUCAUCAUGCCCCUUAUGACCUGGGCUACACACGUGCUACAAUGGUCGGUACAACGAGUUGCGAGCCGGUGACGGCAAGCUAAUCUCUGAAAGCCGAUCUCAGUUCGGAUUGGAGGCUGCAACUCGCCUCCAUGAAGUCGGAAUCGCUAGUAAUCGCGGAUCAGCACGCCGCGGUGAAUACGUUCCCGGGCCUUGUACACACCGCCCGUCACACCACGAGAGUUUGUAACACCCGAAGUCGGUGAGGUANCCUUUUAGGG
Molecule: ribosomal RNA, 902 nt
Filed under: uncultured bacterium
Lineage: Bacteria
Description: bacterial SSU rRNA
Rfam family: Bacterial small subunit ribosomal RNA
Source: RNAcentral